RNAcentral lists this transfer RNA (57 nucleotides) under Candida maltosa Xu316. It matches the Rfam family "tRNA", at positions 1 to 55 of the family's 71-position model. Rfam says of the family: Transfer RNA (tRNA) molecules are approximately 80 nucleotides in length. Their secondary structure includes four short double-helical elements and three loops (D, anti-codon, and T loops). Lineage: Eukaryota; Fungi; Ascomycota; Pichiomycetes; Serinales; Debaryomycetaceae. The record is from Rfam by way of RNAcentral.
GCUCUUAUGGCCAAGUUGGUAAGGCACCUCACUAGUAAUGAGGAGAUCAUAGGUUCG